GCCAAAUGACCCUAAAUUCUUACUCCCUAUUUCAUAACAUUGUAUGUAGGGAAGCUAUAUUUAGGAGAUCUCUACUUUCCCAGCAAAGAUGGAAGCUAUAUAUUUUCUCUCUUUUUCAUCCGCCUUUUGUUCUCUUCCUCUUCCUUUUAUUCCCCCUAACCCUGGAGCCAGGAGAAGAAAACGUGUAAAACUGAAAAACGCCGUCGUGCCGAAAGUGCCAUAAUCACCAAUUUCAAGCAAAAUCUGUUAUAAAACACACACAAAACUACCCAUUUGACAGUUGCAUAGUAAUGGACAAAGGAGAAGGGAGUUUGAAUUUUGAUUUUGAGGGUGACUUAGACACUGGGCCAACACACCCCACUGCAUCCGUUCCAGUAAUACAAUCUUCCGAUCACACUGCCGUCGCCGCUCCAAGUGCUAAUAUUAACCCGCCUACUGUCCCUGCACCUGUCGGUGGCCAAGGCGAUGUAGGAUUUGUUGGAAAUCGUCGGAGUUUCAGGCAGACUGUUUGCCGCCACUGGCUGCGGUCACUGUGUAUGAAGGGUGAUGCCUGCGGCUUCCUUCACCAAUAUGAUAAAUCCCGAAUGCCCAUUUGUCGCUUCUUUCGACUCUAUGGUGAGUGCCGUGAACAGGACUGUGUUUAUAAGCACACAAUUGAGGAUAUCAAGGAAUGCAACAUGUACAAAUUGGGGUUUUGUCCAAAUGGUCCUGAUUGUCGAUAUAGACAUGCAAAGAUGCCCGGGCCUCCACCUCCAGUGGAAGAAGUCCUUCAGAAAAUUCAGCAUCUGGCAUCCUACAACUAUGGUUUCUCAAACAGGUUUAACCAAAAUCGAAAUGCUAAUUAUUCAACACUGACAGACAAAUCUCAGGCUUCACAAGCACAGAAUGGAAUGAGUCUUGCUGUGAAAUCUACAGCAACUGAGACACCCAUUAUUCAACAGCACCAGCCGCAUCAACAACAAGUUCAGCAACCUCAAUUACAGGGUGGCCCAACUCAAGCACAAAUUCAUCCCAAUGGCCAGCAAAAUCAAACUGAUAGAACUGCAGUAGUCCUGCCUCAAGGAACUUCUAGGUACUUUAUUGUUAAAAGCUGCAACCGUGAGAAUCUUGAAUUGUCAGUACAACAAGGAGUUUGGGCUACUCAAAGAAGCAACGAGGCUAAACUAAAUGAAGCUUUUGACUCUGUGGAAAAUGUCAUUCUGAUAUUUUCUGUCAACCGGACUAGACAUUUUCAGGGUUGUGGAAAGAUGACAUCUAGAAUUGGUGGCGCUGCUAAAGGAGGAAAUUGGAAGCAUGAACAUGGAACUGCUCAUUAUGGACGUAAUUUUUCAGUGAAAUGGUUAAAGCUAUGUGAACUGUCCUUCCAGAAAACUCACCAUUUGAGGAAUCCAUACAAUGAGAAUUUACCAGUGAAGAUAAGCAGAGAUUGUCAAGAAUUAGAGCCCUCUGUUGGUGAGCAGUUGGCUUCUUUGCUUUAUCUUGAACCAGAUAGCGAACUUAUGGCAAUCUCACAUGCAGCAGAAUCCAAGUGGCAGGAAGAAAAGGUGAAGGGAGUGAACCCUGACAAUGGGAAUGAUAACCCAGAUAUUGUACCAUUUGAAGACAAUGAAGAAGAGGAAGAUGAAGAAAGUGAGGACGAGGAUGAAAGCUUUGAUCAAGGUUUUGGACCAACUGCGCUUGGCAGAGGAAGGGGCAGGGGAAUUGUAUGACCUCCAAUAAUGCCUUUCGGACAUGGGCCCAGGCCUCCUCCUGGAAUGCGGGGCUUCCCUCCGGGCAUGAUGGGUGAUGGGUUUUCUUAUGGAGCUAUGACACCUGAUGGUUUUCCAAUGCCUGAUCAUUUUGGGAUGGGUCCCCGACCUUUUGGUCCAUAUGGUCCACGAUUUUCAAGUGAUUUGAUGUUUCAUGUCUGCCCUCCAGCUGGUGGAUUUGGGAUGAUGAUGGGUCCCGGAAGGCCCCCUUUCAUGGGCGGAAUGGGUCUGGGAGCGACAGGCCCACCCAGAGCUGACCGAGCAGUUGGAAUGCAUCUAUCAUUUCUUCCACCCUCAUCUCAGCCUUCUCAAAAUCUUUGUAGGGCUAAAAGAGAACAGAGGGCUCCAGUUAGUGACAGGAAUGAUAGAUUUAGCUCUGGCUCAGAUCAAGGUAAAGGUCAGGAAAUGGUGGGUUCAGUUGGUGGACCAGAUGGAGUACAUUAUCUGCAAAUAGGGAAAUCUGAACACGAUAAUCAGUUUGGUGCUGGAAACAGCUUCAAAAAUGAUGAAAGCGAAAGUGAGGAUGAAGCCCCAAGAAGAUCAAGACAUGGGGAUGGAAAGAGGAAGAGGCGGGAUAUUGAUGAAGAUGCUGCAGCUGGCUCGGAAAAAUAGGUGUCAUUCUAAACCAAAUAUAGAUGUCAUCUUGUCUUUACAGCUGUUCGUGACAUUCUUCUACGGGGGUAAAUGCAACUAGUUUUAAUGUAGAAACCCAUCCAACAUCCUGUUUUUACAGAAUUAGAAAGAAAAAUUCAACUUACAUUCCGGCUGGAAGAUAUACUCUUAUGUCACCAUCCUGAGAGUAUCCGCCCGACCGAGAAAUUAACAAGAGGUUUAUAAUAUAUGUCCUGGUGUAUACUUUGUGGAACAAUUAAAUUUUACAGCCUUCUAUUAGAUAAAUUUUGAGGAA
RNA transcript from Solanum dulcamara, 2655 nucleotides. It is a transcript of the gene named 30-kDa cleavage and polyadenylation specificity factor 30-like, with no coding region annotated. NCBI's taxonomy places the organism in Eukaryota, Viridiplantae, Streptophyta, Magnoliopsida, Solanales, Solanaceae. The transcript is spliced from 7 exons. The record is from RefSeq and is a predicted model, not a curated record.